GUCGAACGCGUCUUGGUCAAUGAUUUUAGGUGCUUGCACUUGACUGAUUUGACAUUGAGACGAGUGGCGAACUGGUGAGUAACACGUGGGUAACCUGCCCUUGAAGUAGAGGAUAACACUUGGAAACAGGUGCUAAUACUGCAUAACAACGAAAACCGCCUGGUUUUCGUUUGAAAGAUGGCUUCGGCUAUCGCUUUAGGAUGGACCCGCGGCGUAUUAGCUAGUUGGUGAGGUAACGGCUCACCAAGGCAAUGAUACGUAGCCGACCUGAGAGGGUAAUCGGCCACAUUGGGACUGAGACACGGCCCAAACUCCUACGGGAGGCAGCAGUAGGGAAUCUUCCACAAUGGACGAAAGUCUGAUGGAGCAACGCCGCGUGAGUGAUGAAGGGUUUCGGCUCGUAAAACUCUGUUGUUGGAGAAGAACGGGUGUCAGAGUAACUGUUGACAUCGUGACGGUAUCCAACCAGAAAGCCACGGCUAA
This 483-nucleotide ribosomal RNA is filed under the name Lentilactobacillus diolivorans. RNAcentral's name for it is "bacterial SSU rRNA". It matches the Rfam family "Bacterial small subunit ribosomal RNA", at positions 61 to 500 of the family's 1533-position model. The record is from RNAcentral. Lineage: Bacteria; Bacillati; Bacillota; Bacilli; Lactobacillales; Lactobacillaceae.